UGCGAAGGGGGCUAGCGUUGCUCGGAAUUACUGGGCGUAAAGGGCGCGUAGGCGGCGAUCCUAGUCAGAUGUGAAAGUCCUGGGCUUAACCUGGGGACUGCAUUUGAUACUGGAUUGCUUGAAUUCGGGAGAGGAUAGCGGAAUUCCCAGUGUAGAGGUGAAAUUCGUAGAUAUUGGGAAGAACACCGGUGGCGAAGGCGGCUAUCUGGACCGACAUUGACGCUGAGGCGCGAAAGCGUGGGGAGCAAACAGG
RNAcentral lists this ribosomal RNA (253 nucleotides) under uncultured bacterium. RNAcentral describes it as "partial 16S ribosomal RNA". It matches the Rfam family "Bacterial small subunit ribosomal RNA", at positions 524 to 776 of the family's 1533-position model. The record is from RNAcentral.